GUGCUUACUUGAGCAGCACAUACAUUAAAAUUGGCACGAUACAGAGAAGAUUAACAUGGCUCCUGCGCAAAGAUGAUACACAAAUGUGUGAAGCUUUUCAUAUUUUU
This is a small nuclear RNA of Sarcophilus harrisii (Tasmanian devil), 107 nucleotides long. The record is from Ensembl. Lineage: Eukaryota; Metazoa; Chordata; Mammalia; Dasyuromorphia; Dasyuridae.